UCAGGAUGCACUUCAGCUGAAACCAUUCCAGUCUCUGCUCUGUCAUGGCUGCCAUCUCCCCGGGGAAAGAAGAGAGAGAGAGAGAGAGAGAGAGAGAAGAAGAAACUGCAGAUAAACAAACAUUGCUCUCAUGAUGGGUGAUGCUGUGUUCAAAGUACAAAGCAAAGGAAUAUACAAGGAAAGGGUUUUUUUAAAAAGUCAACUGCAACCCUAGUUCUGUGUGCUAGUCUGGCAUUCUGUUCUGGGAUGUGUGCUACGAAGGGCACAACUAAAGAACACCAAAUGGACAUGCCUGCCCUUGCAGGGAAAAAAAAACUCUUUCUCUCUGAUUGCUGGAUGCAAGUCACAAGUCAGCAAAGCCACACUCGAAAAGGAAACAAGUCAACUCCUUUCAGCGAACCUGCAGAACAAAGAAUCUCCAACCCAACUGCUCAACUGCCAAAGUCAGCACUACCGAAGCCACCCCAACUUAAUGGCUGCAAUGUUUUGGCAUUUACUCCUCACAGACAAACCAAAGGACUCAUUCAUAUAUCUUUAUUUAAAACUUUUAGUUUUGAGUCAAUUUCUGAUUUCUAAUCUGUUUGUAUGUGUCUUGUCUUUUUAUCAUUUUUCCUUGCAUUUAGUAACUAAUAAACUCACUCUUUCUUUGA
Molecule: long non-coding RNA, 650 nt
Organism: Carcharodon carcharias (great white shark)
Lineage: Eukaryota; Metazoa; Chordata; Chondrichthyes; Lamniformes; Lamnidae
Exons: 2
Source: RefSeq, a predicted model, not a curated record